CUUGAACUUCUUGUGAAGACACUUCCUCAGAAAGAUUUGUCUGCCAUGUCUCCCAAGUUUGGAUUAUUGUUGCUUAUGUUGGUGCUAAUGUGCAGCAUUCAAUAUUGUGGAGCACACGGUAUGUUUUUAGAUUUGCUGAGUCUACAGAGCAGGUUACCAAGAGGAACUACAAACAGACUUACUUUCCUAGUUGAUGGAUCAUUGUCCCUUCCAGGGAUAAAAACUAUCGCUUUUAUCUUUUAGCACUGUUAU
Long non-coding RNA from Stylophora pistillata, 252 nucleotides. The record is from RefSeq and is a predicted model, not a curated record. NCBI's taxonomy places the organism in Eukaryota, Metazoa, Cnidaria, Anthozoa, Scleractinia, Pocilloporidae.